RNAcentral lists this long non-coding RNA (5683 nucleotides) under Nicotiana benthamiana. RNAcentral's name for it is "long non-coding RNA (NBEN_LNC023214)". Lineage: Eukaryota; Viridiplantae; Streptophyta; Magnoliopsida; Solanales; Solanaceae. The record is from RNAcentral.
GGGUUUUAGCCAUACAUACCUUGUUUAAGCUUUCCUUAAGUUACUACGACGUUCCGGAACUUCUAGCAAUCCCAAUCUACUUUGAGACAUAACAAAAUGGAACACAAAUUAGGAAGGUAUUCAUAGUUUCAACUCAUUUAAGUAUUUUAUCAAAUAUUAGUUGAGCAUCUUGAUUUCAAAUCUCUUUUACAGGAUUUCCUUCAUUCCCCAACCCAAUCUUUACUUAUUAAUGUUCAACAAUCUUCCCACAAACCUAAUUUUUACAGCAUGUAUAUAUAAUAUUAUUACACCCAAGAAUCAUACCCCAAUAACCCAUCUCACCUUCUCCAUAGCACCAACACAACCUAGGUUAGGCACCUAUGGCUUCCAAUCACCAUCCCAUGAGUUCUAACAUAUAUAUAAUACAUAAAUUAUCACCGUAGACUAGUGAGAGACUCUAGACAUACCUAUUGUAGUAAGAAUCUUGAGAACCCCCACUGGAAGUAUUCUUGAUUUAUUUAGGGAUUUGAAUGGGAAUCUAUGGAUUUUCAAGAUCAAUCCUUGUUAAUAUAAGUGUUUAGGAGAAGUAAUAAACUCAGAAUACUCCAAAAACAUUACCUUGGAUCAUAGGAGGGAAGUAUGAGACGGAUUCCCUCCCUUUCCUUUUGAUAGAGCAAGCCCUAGCUCAAAAAAAUGACUUAGAGACACUCCAUACCCGCUCUUGGGGUAUUUAUAGGGCUUAUAGACAUGUGACUGCGGUCAAACCGUACCCAGGAUGCAGUGACCACGCUCGUAUCGUGCUCGGGUCGCGUUCGGAGGUAGAAACUUCCAAUGUUUGCACGGCCGCACCGUGGACGCGUGUUUGAUACAGGUUUGGUAAAAUGGUCAUAACUUUAUGUAUACACCUUCAAAUGACAAGCGUUUUUAUGCGGUGAAAACUAGACUUAAAAAGAUUUAAUUUUGUAGGUUUGGCAUCACACAAAAUCUUAUAUAUAUGGAGAUAUGCUUGUCCAAGGUGAGGUCUUGUGCGUACUCAUUUACAAUUUUAGUCUAUUAUGAAAUUUUCCAACUUGGCUUAAACUUAGGUCUCUACUUAGACCCCAAAUCGCUUAUAAUAGCAUUUAUACACGUAUUAACAUAUCCAAUUCAUAUCCAUUAUAUCAUGAAUCCUCAUUUACACACAAGAUAAAAUAACUAGUCUACCUUGGCCCCACGAAGUCUUAAAUUACUUAGCAAACUUUUUUGGGGCUUUACCCCAUUCAAUACUUUAGACGUCCCAUAGAGCUUUAGGGGGUCGUGGUUCUUAUGUACAUCUUUUAGGGAAGCCACCAUAUAGUGCAUCGACAGCUCCUUUCAGAGCGCCUCCUCUUUAGAGUCACGAUCUCGGUCAGCUAGCUCAUCAGAGUCAGUAUUAGUUUCCUUAAUCGCAAUAAUCAGAUGGAUGCAUUGGGUGUAUUGAGUAUGGGCAUAUCUGGGGGACCUAUCCGAGAUUGAUUGUGCCUCGUGAUUCCUUAAGUGCUCCCUGUAUGUGUCUACACUAGUAGAUGGUUCUAUUGUUGUAGAUCGUGUCUAUCAUUCAUAUGUGGUUAUUCUUGGGGGACUUGAGACUAGCGUAGAUCUUCUACUUCUCGAUAUGGUUGAUUUCGAUGUUAUUUUAGGGAUGGAUUGGCUAUCACCUUACCAAGCUAUAUAAGAUUGUCAAGCCAAGACCAUGACCUUGGCAUUGUUAGGGUUGCCUCGAUUGGAGUGGAUAGGGACCCCGGAUCAUUCUACUAGUAGGGUUAUUUCUUAUAUGAAGGCUCAGUGUAUGAUCGAGAAGGGGUGUUUGGCUUAUUUGGCUUAUGGUCACAAUUCUAGUGCGUAGGUUGCUUCCAUGGAUUCCGUAGCAGUUGUUUGUGGAUUUCUAGAUGUUCAUGUAGGCCUGCCGGGGAUGCCACGCGACAGGGAUAUUGACUUUUGCAUUGAUUUGGCUCGGGGCCUCCGGCCCAUUUAUAUUCUGCCAUACCAUAUGGACCUGCCAGAGUUGAAAUAUAUGAAGGAACAGUUGCAAGAUUUGCUUGAUAAGGGCUUUAUUAGGCCUAAUGUCUCGCCUUGGGGUGCGGCAGUGUUGUUUGUAAAGAAAAAAGAUGGAUCGAUAUGGAUGUGCAUAGACUAUCGGGAGUUCAACAAAGUCACCAUCAAGAAAAAGUAUCUGCUACCGAGGAUUGAUGAUUUAUUUGAUAAGCUUCAGAGUGCCAAGGUGUUUUCAAAGAUCAAUUCGAGGUCUGACUACCAUCAGUUGAGGAUUAGGGCAUUCGAUGUCCCUAAGAUAGCAUUUCAAACUCGAUACAUGCAUUAUGAGUUUCUAGUAAUAUCAUUUUGGUUGACAAAUGCCCCAGUAUCAUUCUUAUAUUUAAUGAACCGGGUGUUCAAGCCCUAUCUGGAUUGCUUUGUGAUUUUUCUCAUUGAUGAUAUCUUGAUCUUCUCCCGUAGCCGAGAUAAGUAUGAGCAGCAUCUUCGGGUUGUUAUUCAAACUCUGAGAGACAAUUAGUUAUAUACAAUGUUUUCAAAAUGUGAGUUUUGGUUAGGUCAUAUUGUAUCAGCAGAAGGUAUUGAGGUGGACCCUAAGAAGAUUGAGGCUUCAAAGAUUAGCCUAGACCUACAUCAGCUAUAGAGAUUCGGAGUUCCUAGGUUUGGCGGGUAAUUAUCGUCGGUUUGUGGAGGGGUUUUCAUCCAUUGUAGCCUUGAUGACCAAGUUGACCUAGAAGGGUGCCCCGUGCUGAUGGUCAGACGAGUGUGAAAAGAGCUUUCAGAAGCUCAAGCCAGCUUUGACUACGGCGCUGGUGUUGGUGUUGCCCACAGGUUCAGGGCCCUAUACAGUAUAUUGUGAAAUAUCUCGUAUUGGACUUGGUAUGGUAUUGAUGCAUGGUGGUAAGCUUAUUGCAUAUGCUUCGCGGCAGUAGAAGAUUGACGAGAAGAAUUAUCCAGUUCAUGACUUGGAGCUAGUAGCCAUUGUACACGCGCUGAAGAUUUGGAGGAUCUAUCUAAAUAACGUGUCGUAUGAGGUGUUCAGGGAUCAUAAGAGUUUGCAGUACUUGGUCAAGCAAAAGGAUCUCAAUUUGAGGCAAAGAAAGUGGUUAGAGCUAUUGAAAGACAAUGAUAUCAAUAUCUUGUAUCAUCCUGAGAUGGACAAUGUGGUAGCUGAUGCUUUGAGUAAGGAGUAAGCUAGCAUGCCAAUCUUGCGUAUAUUUCAGCCGGUGAAAGACCGCUUAGCUUAGAUGUUCAGGCUUUGGCCAAUCAGUUCAUGAGGUUGGAUGUUUUGGAGCCCACCCGUAUUCUAGCCUGUCCAGUCGCUCGGUCUUCCUUGUUUGAACGUAUCAAGGAGCGGCAGUAUGAUGAUUCUCAUUUGCUUAUCUUUAGGGAUAUAGUGCAGCACAAAGAUGCCAAGCAUGUUACAGUUAGAGAUGAUGACUUUUGAGGAUGCAAGGUCAGGUUUGUGUGCCUAAUGUGGAUGGAAUUCGUGAGAUUAUUCUGGGGGAGGUUCAGUUCCCUGUAUUCUAUUCAUCCGAGUGCCGCUAAGAUGUAUUAGGACUUGAAGAAGAAUUAUUGGUGGAGGAGAUGAAGAAGGAUAUUGUUGCAUAUAUAGCUCGGUGAUUGAAUUGUCAGCAAGUAAAGCAUAAGAAUCAAAGACUUGGUGGUUUGCUUCAGAAGAUAAAUAUUCCUUAGUGGAAGUGAGAGCAUAUCAUUACAGACUUCGUUGUUAGACACCCAUGGACACAGAGGAAGUUCGAUACAGUAUGGGUUAUUGUUGAUAGGCUGACCAAGUCAGUGCAUUUCAUUCUUGUGGCAGUUUCCUAUUAUUCGAAGCAGUGGACAGAGAUCUAUAUCCGUGAGAUUAUUCGUCUUCAUGGUAUGCCUGUGUCUAUCAUUUCUGAUCUAGGUGCGUAGUUUACCUUGUAUAUCUGGAGAGCGGUACUUGUCACAACUUCUUUUUUACACGGCUACCCCGAAGGAUAAAAAAAGCGUAUAAGGGAGCUUUUCCAAUUAAAGUGACAUUAUUCGAAAUGAGAUUAUUUAUAUAUUUGGAGUCGCCACUUGGGAUAAGUUUGCCUUUUGGUGUCCCAAGUUGUUUGUUUAGAAUAACAAAUCGAGGAAAGUUUUGACUGCCCAAAUGGAGUUUGCGAACUAAAUAUUCUGAGUAAGGAAUUCAGUUGACCCGAGGAAAGGUGUUAGGCACCCUCGGAUCCCAUGGUUCUAGCAUAGUUUCUUAAACUAUUAUAAAUGGCUUAAUAUCUGAUUUUAAUACAUAUUUUAACCCAUGUGCAACUUUAAUUUUAACCGCUUUAUUAUUUGAUUUUAAGAAAAUUUCAACGUCACAUAAAAUGCAUUUUGAACUGCGUCACAUAAAUGCACCCUCAAUUCACAACAUAUUUUAUAUAACAUUGUUCGGAUUUGGAUUUAGGUCACAUAAAUGUGCACCCGAGUUUAGGAAGAUGAGUUAUUAAAAAUAACAACUUCAAAAAACUACACAAUUUUAAAUUUGCGAGGGCCAUGGAAAUUUAACUAAAUGGCACGCCUCGAAUUCUAAGGUUUGAAAGUCAAUUAAGUGAGGGCCAUGCAAUUUGUGAUAUUGUUUGGCAUGGCACGCCUCAAUUUCUUUCAAAGGGUUUUAUUGUUUGAAGUUGUUAUAAUCGGGUUACAUGAAAUGCACCCCCGAACUUGGAUUUGUUCAUCGUAACUAUGUCACGGGAACCGUACCCAUAGUCACAGUGGUUUAUUAUUAAGCACGUAUAAAGCAAGCUACGUAUUUGAAUUAUUUUCCUAAUCCUUGAGAUUGUUAUAAGGCCAAAUUUAUGAACAAGAUAUUAUUGGGGAGCAAACAUGGUAGCUAACAUGUUGUGCUACUUGGCCUAAAUUCCUUAUGGUUCAAGACUCACUUUAUGACCCAUUCUUCUUCCUUGCCAAGAAAGAAACGACUCCAAUUUUUCCCUCUCAAAAAUUAAAAGCAUUUAUUCAAGAACCCAAAACUACAUGCAUCACAAUAAAAAUAAUAACUAAUUAAAACAAGUUAAUGAAAGCUAAGACAUGCUACUCAAACAAUAUAGAAUCAUAUAUUAAUCAAGCACGCACACCAAGCUAUUGUAAUAUAAGAAAAUGAAAAUGAAAAUUGAAAUUAACCUUUUAUUCAUGAACGGUGCUGGAAAUUACAAAUCAAUUGGAAUAAACAAAGCAAUAAUACUUAGAUCGAAACACCGAAAUUAUAAAUCAAACCUCAAUUUUAAAGUUUGCCGGAAUUCGAUGAAACUCGGACAGCACCUCAAAAUUCUAUCCCCCGGACAGUAACGUCGAUGGGAGCUACUGUUUAGGAACUCAAGAUGAUUCUCUUUCGUUGGAAUCGGCGCCCUUUAUGUUGUUUAGGUCUCAAAUUUUGGUUUUUCAAUUAGUUUUUCUUUCUCAAUUUCGUUAGAUCUCAAAAGACCACUAAGUUUGUUGCACAAAAGCCAUUUGUGCAAGAUAACGUCAGAUAUCUCUAAUGAAAACAAAGCAUCAACAUUUUAAUAGGAAAUAAGAUAAGAAAAAUCACCAUUUUUAUUAGGAAUUAGGUUGCUAAUCGGUGUGUCUCCCUUUGGAAUCGCCGUUGUUGUUUUGGUGUUUUUAGUUUUUUGGAAUUGAAAAUAGGGUAGGGUUUCUCUAAUUGGAUAUUUUAUAUGGAGGUAGAAAUUAA